AUUGAACGCUGGCGGCAGGCUUAACACAUGCAAGUCGAGCGGGGGAGGUUACUUCGGUAACUGACCUAGCGGCGGACGGGUGAGUAAUGCUUAGGAAUCUGCCUAUUAGUGGGGGACAACAUUCCGAAAGGAAUGCUAAUACCGCAUACGCCCUACGGGGGAAAGCAGGGGAUCUUCGGACCUUGCGCUAAUAGAUGAGCCUAAGUCGGAUUAGCUAGUUGGUGGGGUAAAGGCCUACCAAGGCGACGAUCUGUAGCGGGUCUGAGAGGAUGAUCCGCCACACUGGGACUGAGACACGGCCCAGACUCCUACGGGAGGCAGCAGUGGGGAAUAUUGGACAAUGGGCGGAAGCCUGAUCUAGCCAUGCCGCGUGUGUGAAGAAGGCCUUUUGGUUGUAAAGCACUUUAAGCGAGGAGGAGGCUCCUUUAGUUAAUACCUAAAGUGAGUGGACGUUACUCGCAGAAUAAGCACCGGCUAACUCUGUGCCAGCCGCCGCAGUAA
RNAcentral lists this ribosomal RNA (501 nucleotides) under uncultured bacterium. Its description in RNAcentral is "partial 16S ribosomal RNA". It matches the Rfam family "Bacterial small subunit ribosomal RNA", at positions 30 to 523 of the family's 1533-position model. The record is from RNAcentral.